RNAcentral lists this ribosomal RNA (762 nucleotides) under Clostridium botulinum C/D. RNAcentral's name for it is "partial 23S ribosomal RNA". It matches the Rfam family "Bacterial large subunit ribosomal RNA", at positions 1731 to 2503 of the family's 2925-position model. Lineage: Bacteria; Bacillati; Bacillota; Clostridia; Eubacteriales; Clostridiaceae. The record is from RNAcentral.
UAACUUAGGGAGAAGGGGUGCCUACGAGAGUAGGCCGCAGUGAAUAGGCUCAAGCAACUGUUUAUCAAAAACACAGGUCUCUGCUAAAGCGUAAGCUGAUGUAUAGGGGCUGACGCCUGCCCGGUGCUGGAAGGUUAAGGGGAAUAGUUAGCGCAAGCGAAGCUAUGAACUUAAGCCCCAGUAAACGGCGGCCGUAACUAUAACGGUCCUAAGGUAGCGAAAUUCCUUGUCGGGUAAGUUCCGACCCGCACGAAUGGCGUAAUGAUUUGAGCACUGUCUCGGCAAUAAAUCCGGUGAAAUUGUAGUGCAAGUGAAGAUGCUUGCUACCCGCGGUUGGACGGAAAGACCCCGUAGAGCUUUACUGUAGCUUAGCAUUGAAUUUCGGUAUUGUCUGUACAGGAUAGGUGGGAGACUUAGAAGCGAGGGCGUCAGCUUUCGUGGAGUCGUCCUUGGGAUACCACCCUGACAGUACUGGAAUUCUAACUGGAGGCCAUGAAUCUGGUCACAGGACAUUGCUAGGUGGGCAGUUUGACUGGGGCGGGCGCCGCCUAAAAGGUAACGGAGGCGCCCAAAGGUUCCCUCAGCGCGGUCGGAAAUCGCGCGUAGAGUGCAAAGGCAGAAGGGAGCCUGACUGCGACACAUACAGGUGGAGCAGGGACGAAAGUCGGGCUUAGUGAUCCGGUGGUUCUGUAUGGAAGGGCCAUCGCUCAACGGAUAAAAGCUACCUCGGGGAUAACAGGCUGAUCUCCCCCAAGAGUCCAC